RNAcentral lists this ribosomal RNA (455 nucleotides) under uncultured bacterium. RNAcentral's name for it is "bacterial SSU rRNA". It matches the Rfam family "Bacterial small subunit ribosomal RNA", at positions 29 to 526 of the family's 1533-position model. The record is from RNAcentral.
AACGAACGCUGGCGGCAGGCCUAACACAUGCAAGUCGAGCGAACCCUUCGGGGUUAGCGGCGGACGGGUUAGUAACGCGUGGGAAUAUACCCUUUGGUACGGAAUAGCCUCGGGAAACUGAGAGUAAUACCGUAUGUGCCCUUCGGGGGAAAGAUUUAUCGCCAAAGGAUUAGCCCGCGUUGGAUUAGAUAGUUGGUGGGGUAAUGGCCUACCAAGUCUACGAUCCAUAGCUGGUUUGAGAGGAUGAUCAGCAACACUGGGACUGAGACACGGCCCAGACUCCUACGGGAGGCAGCAGUGGGGAAUCUUAGACAAUGGGCGCAAGCCUGAUCUAGCCAUGCCGCGUGGACGAUGAAGGCCUUAGGGUUGUAAAGUCCUUUCAGAUGGGAAGAUAAUGACGGUACCAUCAGAAGAAGCCCCGGCUAACUCCGUGCCAGCAGCCGCGGUAAUGUCAC